This 576-nucleotide ribosomal RNA is filed under the name fungal yeast sp. DY91. RNAcentral describes it as "eukaryotic LSU rRNA". It matches the Rfam family "Eukaryotic large subunit ribosomal RNA", at positions 43 to 660 of the family's 3401-position model. The record is from RNAcentral. Lineage: Eukaryota; Fungi.
UCAAUAAGCGGAGGAAAGAACCAACAGGGAUUGCCUUAGUAACGGCGAGUGAAGCGGCAAAAGCUCAAAUUUGAAAUCGGCCCACCAGGUCGAGUUGUAAUUUGUAGAUUGUAUCUUGAGAGCGGAUUAAAGUCUGUUGGAACACAGCGCCUUAGAGGGUGACAGCCCCGUAAAAUCUAUUCUCAUUGUAAGAUACUUUCGAAGAGUCGAGUUGUUUGGGAAUGCAGCUCUAAGUGGGAGGUAAAUUCCUUCUAAAGCUAAAUAUUGACGAGAGACCGAUAGCGAACAAGUACUGUGAAGGAAAGAUGAAAAGCACUUUGAAAAGAGAGUGAAAAAGUACGUGAAAUUGUUAAAAGGGAAGGGUAUUGAAUCAGACUUGGUGCUGUUGUUCAACCAUGUUUCGGCACUGGUGUACUCAGCAGUACUAGGCCAAGGUGGGGUGUUUGGGAGUGAAAAAGAAGUUAGGAACGUAACUCUUCGGAGUGUUAUAGCCUACUUUCAUAGCUCCUCAGGCGCCUCAGGACUGCGCUUCGGCAAGGACUUGGCAUAAUGAUUCUAUACCGCCCGUCUUGAAAC